This 24-nucleotide non-coding RNA is filed under the name Rattus norvegicus (Norway rat). Lineage: Eukaryota; Metazoa; Chordata; Mammalia; Rodentia; Muridae. The record is from RNAcentral.
UAGGUGACUCUACUGUCAAGUGCU